UACGAAGGUCCCGAGCGUUAUCCGGAUUUAUUGGGUUUAAAGGGUGCGUAGGCGGGUCUUUAAGUCAGGGGUGAAAUCCUGGAGCUCAACUCCAGAACUGCCUUUGAUACUGAAGAUCUUGAGUUCGGGAGAGGUGAGUGGAACUGCGAGUGUAGAGGUGAAAUGCGCAGAUAUCAGGAGGAACACCAAUGGCGAAGGCAGCUCGCUGGGACGGUACUGACGCUGAGACGCGAAAGCGUGGGGAGCAAACAGG
This 253-nucleotide ribosomal RNA is filed under the name uncultured bacterium. RNAcentral's name for it is "partial 16S ribosomal RNA". It matches the Rfam family "Bacterial small subunit ribosomal RNA", at positions 524 to 776 of the family's 1533-position model. The record is from RNAcentral.